RNAcentral lists this ribosomal RNA (274 nucleotides) under uncultured bacterium. Its description in RNAcentral is "partial 16S ribosomal RNA". It matches the Rfam family "Bacterial small subunit ribosomal RNA", at positions 524 to 793 of the family's 1533-position model. The record is from RNAcentral.
UACGGAGGGUGCGAGCGUUAAUCGGAAUUACUGGGCGUAAAGCGCAUGCAGGCGGCCUGUUAAGUCAGAUGUGAAAGCCCGGGGCGUUAACCUCGGAAUUGCAUUUGUAAACUGGCAGGCUAGAGUCUUGUAGAGGGGGGUAGGAAUUUCAGGUGUAGCGGUGAAAUGCGUAGAGAUCUGAAGGAAUACCAGUGGCGAAGGCGGCCCCCUCGGACAAAGACUGACGCUCAGAUGCGAAAGCGUGGGGAGCAAACAGGAUUAGAUACCCUGGUAG